Molecule: ribosomal RNA, 496 nt
Filed under: uncultured bacterium
Lineage: Bacteria
Description: partial 16S ribosomal RNA
Rfam family: Bacterial small subunit ribosomal RNA
Source: RNAcentral
AUGAACGCUGGCGGCGUGCCUAAUACAUGCAAGUCGAGCGAACGGACGAGAAGCUUGCUUCUCUGAUGUUAGCGGCGGACGGGUGAGUAGCACGUGGAUAACCUACCUAUAAGACUGGGAUAACUUCGGGAAACCGGAGCUAAUACCGGAUAAUAUUUUGAACCGCAUGGUUCAAAAGUGAAAGACGGUCUUGCUGUCACUUAUAGAUGGAUCCGCGCUGCAUUAGCUAGUUGGUAAGGUAACGGCUUACCAAGGCAACGAUGCAUAGCCGACCUGAGAGGGUGAUCGGCCACACUGGAACUGAGACACGGUCCAGACUCCUACGGGAGGCAGCAGUAGGGAAUCUUCCGCAAUGGGCGAAAGCCUGACGGAGCAACGCCGCGUGAGUGAUAAAGGUCUUCGGAUCGUAAAACUCUGUUAUUAGGGAAGAACAUAUGUGUAAGUAACUGUGCACAUCUUGACGGUACCUAAUCAGAAAGCCACGGCUAACUACGUG